RNAcentral lists this ribosomal RNA (301 nucleotides) under uncultured bacterium. RNAcentral describes it as "partial 16S ribosomal RNA". It matches the Rfam family "Bacterial small subunit ribosomal RNA", at positions 509 to 807 of the family's 1533-position model. The record is from RNAcentral.
CAGCAGCCGCGGUAAUACGAAGGGGGCUAGCGUUGUUCGGAUUUACUGGGCGUAAAGGGCGCGUAGGCGGACUGAUAAGUCAGGGGUGAAAUCCCAAGGCUCAACCUUGGAACUGCCUUUGAUACUGUUUGUCUUGAGUUCGAGAGAGGUAAGUGGAACUGCGAGUGUAGAGGUGAAAUUCGUAGAUAUUCGCAAGAACACCAGUGGCGAAGGCGGCUUACUGGCUCGAAACUGACGCUGAGGCGCGAAAGCGUGGGGAGCAAACAGGAUUAGAGACCCGCGUAGUCCAUGUCUCUUAUAC